RNAcentral lists this ribosomal RNA (1245 nucleotides) under metagenome. Its description in RNAcentral is "bacterial LSU rRNA". It matches the Rfam family "Bacterial large subunit ribosomal RNA", at positions 1564 to 2818 of the family's 2925-position model. The record is from RNAcentral.
UGAGUACGAGAUGCUACGGCAUCGAAGCAGUCUAUGUCAUACUUCCAAGAAAAGCUUGCACUGUCAUAAACAAAGAAUGCCUGUACCAUAACCGACACAGGUGGGUAGGUAGAGUAUACUAAGGGGCGCGAGAUAACUCUCUCUAAGGAACUCGGCAAAAUGACUCCGUAACUUCGGGAGAAGGAGUGCCUUAUUUCUAAGGUUGCAAUAACAAGAUCCAAGCAACUGUUUACCAAAAACACAGGUCUCCGCUAAGUCGUAAGACGAUGUAUGGGGGCUGACGCCUGCCCAGUGCCAGAAGGUUAAAGAAGUUGGUUAGCAUUAGCGAAGCUGAUAACUGAAGCCCUGGUGAACGGCGGCCGUAACAAUAACGGUCCUAAGGUAGCGAAAUUCCUUGUCGGGUAAGUUCCGACCCGCACGAAAGGCGUAAUGAUUUGGAUACUGUCUCGGAGAGGGGCUCGGUGAAAUAGACUUGUCUGUGAAGAUGCGGACUACCUGCACCUGGACAGAAAGACCCUAUGAAGCUUUACUGUAACUUGAGAUUGAAAUUGGACUUUAUUUGCGCAGUAUAGGUGGGAGGCGUUGAGAAUAAUCUUGCGGGAUUGUUGGAGCCAUCAGUGAGAUACCACUCUUGUAAUGUUAGAUUUCUAACUUUGUAUCAUUAUCUGGUCAAAGAGCAGUUUCAGGCGGGCAGUUUGACUGGGGCGGUCGCCUCCCAAAGGGUAACGGAGGCGCACAAAGGUUUCCUCUGAACGGGUAGAAAUCGUAUCUAGAGUGUAAAGGCAUAAGGAAGCUUGACUGUGAGACCUACAAGUCGAGCAGGGACGAAAGUCGGUCUUAGUGAUCUGACGGUGCUGAGUGGAAAGGCCGUCACUCAACGGAUAAAAGUUACUCUAAGGAUAACAGGCUGAUCUCCCCCAAGAGUUCACAUCGACGGGGAGGUUUGGCACCUCGAUGUCGGCUCAUCGCAUUCUGGGGCGGUAGUCCGUCCCAAGGGUUGGGCUGUUCGCCCAUGAAAGCGGUACGCGAGCUGGGUUCAGAACGUCGUGAGACAGUUCGGUCCAUAUCCGGUGUAGGCGUUAGAAUAUUGAGAGGAGCCUUCUCUAGUACGAGAGGACCGAGAAGGACAUACCUCUGGUGUACCAGUUAUCGUGCCAACGGUAAACGCUGGGUAGCUAUGUAUGGAGUGGAUAACCGCUGAAAGCAUCUAAGUGGGAAGCCCACCUCAAGAUAAGUAUUCUCAUC